This 343-nucleotide unclassified non-coding RNA is filed under the name soil metagenome. RNAcentral describes it as "partial contains 5.8S ribosomal RNA, internal transcribed spacer 2, and large subunit ribosomal RNA". The stretch from base 1 to 120 matches the Rfam family "5.8S ribosomal RNA", at positions 35 to 154 of the family's 154-position model. The record is from RNAcentral.
GAUGAAGAACGUAGCGAAAUGCGAUAAGUAAUGUGAAUUGCAGAAUCCAGUGAAUCAUCGAAUCUUUGAACGCACAUUGCGCCCGCCAGCAUUCUGGCGGGCAUGCCUGUUCGAGCGUCAUUUCAACCCUCGACCUCCCCUUAGGGAGGUCGGCGUUGGGGACCGGCAGCACACCGCCGGCCCUGAAAUGGAGUGGCGGCCCGUCUGCGGCGACCUCUGCGUAGUAAUACAGCUCGCACCGGAACCCCGACGCGGCCACGCCGUAAAACACCCAACUUCUGAACGUUGACCUCGAAUCAGGUAGGACUACCCGCUGAACUUAAGCAUAUCAAUAAGCGGAGGA